AUCCUAAAACAGCUCCAACUCUCUCAUCUAUGAUGCUGUCAGCCUUGUUAAAUCUCUCUCUUAACUUGGCUCUAGAGCAACAAAAUGACAGAAAUGCUCUUGAUGAAAGCAGAAAACAUCUCUAACUCUCAUUCCUCAUCCUGAUAGCAUUAUUAAAUCUCUCUUAAUUGGCUCUUGAGGUCGGCAGUUGCAGCAAAAUCAAGUUGAAUUCAAAGAAUGGGCCAUCAGAAAUUUGCAGGAAAUGAAAAAUUAAUGGAGAAUUUGCUGGGCUUGGAUGUAUGAUCAUUCUCCUUAUCAAUCGAUCUGCCAUUUACAUGCUUCAAUUUGCUGAUUUGCGGUGCUGUCGAAUGGUUGUAAAUAAAGUGUAAUCUGCAUAUACAAGUAUGAGAAUAGGGAUACCUUGUAAUUUCUAUAUGCUAUGUGACUAAUGGGUAAAUGGUUUUAGGAUUUAGGAUUUAGGUUUUAAUAGAACCCAUUGAUUGCAUUAUUGGGAUUUUCAGUAUACUGUGGGAUAUAAAUUUAAGUCUCAAUUUGUUAAUGCAUGUUUGAUGAACUAAUACCCCAUUCCUAUUAUUGUUAUCACUCAUUCUGUGAAUUUUUAAUAAAGUAAAAGUAAAUAGAAGAAAAGAUGAGGAAAGGGAUAAAAGAGAAGGAAAAUGAGAAAAAUACAUGCAAAAUGUCAAGUUUCUUUGUAGUUGCAGAAUAAUAUUUUACCUCUUCUUUAUGUGGCCAACAUUGAUACCUUCCCUCAAGACUUAUGCUUUUAAAGUUUGGUGCCCUUUUUGUUCUUUUUUAGGACAUUUAUUCUAUAAAUGGUACAAGGUGGAGGGAAAUGGGAGAGUGGUUCCCCCCACUCAUAAAAGGGUCAUUGAAAAAGUUAUAAGGUUGGUCAAUGUAAGACUUACAGUAGCUGGACACUUUUAUUGGCAGGACUAACUUGUGACUUUUUUGUUAUACAAACUUAAAAUAAGAACUAAUCUGUAUGUUAUGCUAACUGUCGGAGACUUACUUGUAAUGUACUCUUUAAAAACUAUUAGUUAGUCUCUUUGUCAAUUAUAUCACUUGACUUCCCUUUCAUGUCUCUGAUCUUAAAAGGAAAGAUCACUUGUCUUUCUCUGUUGUUUGUUUUUUCUCUACAUAGAACCCAAGAAAAGAAAUAGAACAGCAGAAGCUAGUUAGAUAGAUAAAAAAGAUUUAAAAAAAAAAGACCGACCAGUCUUAAUUUAGACCCAGAAAAUCUCUUGCCUAAGGGCGUUUCUAGGAACUGCCCAGUUCCUGCUUUCUCCUUCUAUGUUGAUUCUAUUCUUCUCUUAUCUGUCUCACACUCACAUUUGCUUAUUCCAAUCCCAAAAUGACAUUUUCUUUUCUCUUUUUGGUUAUUUGCAUUGAUUUGUGAGUUGCUGACCAAUUUCAUUCUUUCUGGCUAGCAGAAUUUACCAAUAGAAAAUUCGUUGCUACUAAAUAAAACACUAACCUAAUGCGUUAUUCAUUAUAGUCUGUCUCACAUGUUAGAGUCUUUGACUUGAUUUUGUUUUAAGCAAUACUAUCUCUCUUUUUAUUUGCUGUUUCUUAUUCAUUGGGAUUCUGGGUUCUUGUUAAUUUAGUAAACAGCUACAUUUUUUUACCAUUGAACUAUGCUGUUUUUGUCAGUAUUCUUUUAAUUUGGGGGUUCUGGGAUCUUGUAGAUUCUCAAAACAAGCUUCUCUGAUGGCUUAAAUUGCCAGAAUUUAACCUUUCUUGUUAGUUUGUCAAAAGUCAAGAAUUGGAACUUUCAAGUAGUGCACUUAUGGGUUGUAGAAAAAGAGGGACAAGAUAGCAACAAUUGGAUUGAUGAGUUUUGGGGUUUAAUGCUUGAAAGAACUGAGGUCUAUAUAGCAGUCAUCCUGAUGAGAAUAAGAGAAUGGAGUAGAAUUAAAGGCUGCAUUUGCUCGAAAGGUACUGCAUCAAAUGAAUAUGUAGAAAAAAGUGCCGCAAGCAAAGAAGCAACUAAAACUAGCAAACUUUCAGUCUCUUCUUCCAAAAGAGAUGAAGCUGCAUUUGAGGUGGACGACAUAUCUAAUCAACUCAAUGGGAGCUCUACCUUUGUAUCAUCUGAUGAGAAUAAGAAACAAUCUGCAAAGGCCAGUCCUCUGAAGGCAUGUAGGCUAUUGAGUUUGACCAACGGGGAUAAAAAGAAGCACAAACUUUUACUGGUUGGCCUUCUUGGUUAACUGCUGUGGCUGGAGAGGCCAUUAAUGGAUGGGUGCCUCGAAGGACAGAAUCCUUUGAGAAGCUGAAAAAGGAAUGUGCACAAGACUUCUUUAAUUCUGUCUGCUCAACUCAUUUGAAAUGCAUUGUUGCCUUUCAGGUGACAAGGUUCCCUCCUACAACUGUGCAGUAACCAAAGGUGGAUCUCCUGUCAUCGAGAGAUCCUAUCCAAUCUGCAUCUGUAAAAGCUUCAACUCGGACGUGACCAUGUUUGGAGUAAAGAAGCCCUUUCCCUGGCGCAGACAUUAGAUAUCUUAAGAUACGAAGUACAACUUGCAUAUGAGUCUCGCGAGGGUCAUACAUGAAUUGGCUGACUAAGCUAACAGCAUAGGCUAUAUCCGGUCGAGUGUGAGAGAGAUAAAUCAACCUUCCUACCAAUUUCUGGUAUCUUCCAAUAU
This is a long non-coding RNA of Manihot esculenta (cassava), 2645 nucleotides long. RefSeq lists it as uncharacterized. The transcript has 3 exons. The record is from RefSeq and is a predicted model, not a curated record. Lineage: Eukaryota; Viridiplantae; Streptophyta; Magnoliopsida; Malpighiales; Euphorbiaceae.